UACGGGGGGGGCAAGCGUUGUUCGGAAUUACUGGGCGUAAAGGGCUCGUAGGCGGCCAACUAAGUCAGACGUGAAAUCCCUCGGCUUAACCGGGGAACUGCAUCUGAUACUGGAUGGCUUGAGAUUGGGAGAGGGAUGCGGAAUUCCAGGUGUAGCGGUGAAAUGCGUAGAUAUCUGGAGGAACACCGGUGGCGAAGGCGGCAUCCUGGCCUGUUUCUUGACGCUGAGGCGCGAAAGCUAGGGGAGCAAACGGG
RNAcentral lists this ribosomal RNA (254 nucleotides) under uncultured bacterium. RNAcentral describes it as "partial 16S ribosomal RNA". It matches the Rfam family "Bacterial small subunit ribosomal RNA", at positions 524 to 776 of the family's 1533-position model. The record is from RNAcentral.